GUACAAUCGUCAAACGUCGAAAGAGCACAAUGGCGUCCACCAGCAAUACCGACCGAAGGCCUUAAGCACCUGGCAGUUGUAUUUAAAAUAAUCGAGUGUUCUUUCAUAACCAUAAAUCGAAACGAUCUACUGUGUCCAUCCUGCUACGACCGUGUUUUACUUUAUCAGAAUACUUGAAGCAUGAGGCCACCACAAGUGCAUACCGAUCCACUAUGUAACCAUGGAAGCAAUACGAAACUACAGUUUGUGUAGCCAAGAGGAGAGAAGAGGUUAUAAUUUACACGGAGAAAGGGCGAGUAGCGACAGCAUUAGUAGCUAAGUGGGUCCUACGUUAUCCUAUCCCCGUGUGUUAUGCUGGUACCUCGCAAGCAAACGGAGCCUCCAGGCGAUUCCUAUCUGCCGCUGCCACCCGACACACAGAACACUGAGAACCACCCAGAUUACGAUCUCUCGCCGAGCUACGAACGCGCCUUAACCCAUGUAUCUGCGCUCUGGCACAUUACGCACGCCACCGUCAAACGCAAGCGGGACAUUACCAUUUUAUGGGAAUAGUCCAAAGUGGACGAACUUCUCUCUGCCACUAGGACCUUCAUAACAAUCAUCCUGACUGAUGGGAACGGUAGACCUUACCUAUGUGCUAUGAGAAAUAUGGCUUCUCUUACCUUACCAGUCUACUCGAAUUAAUUAGGCCGGGAAUGGCUGCGCGACGACCAAGCCACCAUUUUAUCUUGAAUUCCUGCGGGAUCUGGUGCCGCUGCUUCCCGGAGAGGAGCAGCUAGUCGUAAAGCAGAUAAGUUGCCGCCUACCGACGAGGAUUCUCUAUAUAGUAACACUACCGAAACGGCUUCAGGACUUUGUGCGGCAGCUGCGACGACCGUUGCGGGCUGAUAUGGCCGAAAGUUAGUCAGGAUGUUAGGACGACAGGAAAGGAUAAAUCCUGAUAGAUUGGAUCGUGAUCUUGAGUUUCCGUCGACGAUCAAGAAAAAUUCAUUGACGACGAUUCUUUUUAAUGGAAAUCUCUUGUAGUUCUCAGGACGCAGGUUUAUAUUAGUUUUCGGUAUUCGUAACUGCAAGGACAAUGUAUAUAGAUAUACAUACGAUACAGUAUAUUAUUUACGACUUGACGCAGCAAUCUGAAGAAUUUUAUGACGUGCAAUGAGUAUCAGAGAACUGAACCUGAUUAUGGAACCACUGGUCUGCCAUAUUGGAGAACGUGCGGCUCGCCUAAUUGGAACACUCGUGAGGGUCUACGACGCAACGCGAAUUCCACGACGUAAUUACCGGAUAAUUACGAGCUCUUGCUGAAGCCUUUGGCAAUGUAAUACAAGCAUAUCAAGUUUGGCCCGUGACAACCCCAUGUCUUCUAUUAUGGAGUUCAUCGACUAACCGUAUAACUUGAACCACGUGAUAGCUGGUUGAACGUUCCGGAUGAUUUCCUGAUAAAAAAUGAGGGGCAAUUUGUCCGGCGAAGGCUGAGCAUAAUAAUGCAAUUACACUUUAUAUGCGACCGACGUAAUCCCAUUAGCAGGCAAUAUUUUAAUCUUAAAUUGGAGUUGAUCAUCUUGUAAUUCAGAAUGAGCUAAAGACGCUCCUGAAUUUCAUUUUUUUAAUAUUUCAUAUUUCACUCUUGCCUCAAGCUCUCUCAAGGUGUUGAUCGUCAUGAGAUCUCAUACUAGGAUAUAAUUAUUCUGCUUCAUCAAAUGGAUCCUCGGAAAAAAAGGUACCCACGAACACCACUCAAUUCAGAUAAUGGAAUGACUUGAUCGUACCACCACUACACUACUAUCACCAUCACAAUCAAGAUCCAUCCCAGCAUCACUGGCAUCCACGAGCCUGACUCUCCUCGCAUACUACACAGCAUCCUCAAGGUCUUCACUCUGUGGAAUAAAUAGGCGGUCCAGGGUGCGUCAUCGAAUCCCAACCAUCUAACAGUAUAUCGAUUCACUUGAAACACUUGGGAUAUUGUCAAGUCAAAAGUAUACCACUACAGUAAUCUUAUUCAAAAUGAUUGUCAGCCAUCUGCACUGAGUUAUCGUCCUGGACCACGAUGUGCUCUUUCAUACUCUUUGACUAUUGAAGCAUGAAAUAUAUUGAAAACACAGCAAGUGAAGAUUUAGACUUUAGUUCUUUCGUCUUCUAUAUCACAAGGAAAUGGUGACUUUAUAGCAGACAGUGAAACCGACAUGGAGGAUUAGAUAAAAGACCUGAAUAAACCCUGGACUGUCUGAACUCCAUCCAAGACAAGACAUCCGACAGGCUACUCGCAAGCCGUAUCCAUGGCAAAAAGAAGAAGCAGAAGAAAACGGCAUCAUCAUAACAAACAAGAGUGUGAGGAAAGAGAAAGGCGGUACGAGAAGAGUCUGGAUGUUCCUGAGGGACACCCUGGAACCUGAUGGCUACGUUACAAGGAACGACAACGACUAGGAGAGACAGCGGAAUGGACCCGAUGAGGAUGCUGCGGAUGAAGUAAAAGUUACACACAGGAUCCAAGUGUGGAGUAUGGUGCUGAGAGAGGAGAGUUUUAAAAAGCGCGGCGUGGCGAUGGCGGACGGCUCGAUCUAACCCGACUUAACUACAUAACUACAUCUUUCUUUUACGUUCCUCGAGGGGCCCUCGGGCCCCUUCUAUCUUUCCUUUUCUUCUAUACUCCUGCUGCCUCUCGUCCUUCUUCUACUUCUAUAGGUCUCCUUCUCCCUCUUCUUCUUCUUCUUCUUCUUCUUCCUUACUCCCCAUUUUGUCUCCCUCUUUCCCCACUUACUCUUCUAUCCACUUUUCUCUCUUUCAUUCCAACCAUCUUUCUCUAACACUGCAGGCUGACUGGCUGACUGGCUUUCCGUUAUAGCGAUCCGCCAGAACCGCGCCGCUAGCGGCAUGGAAAAAAGGCGGCCCUAAAAGAACUUCAUAUUUUUUAUGCUCUGACAGCGACUUGGGUGGUCCAAAAUGGCCGCCAAUGAUAUAAUAUAGUGCUCUACCCAAGAGCCGAACGUCGCGAGCUACGAAGAGGCUCACGUGCGUGUACACGUAUUACUCGUUCUCCUGGGAACCCAACUACUUCGUCAACUGAAAACAAUUCCUCCACUGACCAUUACAACCAGGUACUUCGUGACACGAGAUAAUUAAGGACAGUGGCAGACAAUUUCCUCAAAUUAUUUGGAAUUUUUUCUCCAACACUAGUUUCAAUGUCUUAUCGUUCUAAUCCACAAUGGCUACUGUAUAAGAUUAUCUUUGGUCAGUAUAAUCAAGGCGACUAAUUCCUCCCGUACCGAUGAGCUAAUUGCAGGACGCUUUAUGCUUUAUUGUAAGCAUAUAGGAAUGGCCGCUGGCGACCACCAUUAAUAGGAGUGAACAUAUUAAUCUGCGAUCUGCAUACCGCGUGCUCCUUAAUGAGAGAAAACGAAACUACCAUCGUACUUAUGAACGUCUCUAUAGCUACGUCAUUAGUCAUGUCAAGAGACCAGACCUGAUGCCUGUCUGUUCAAUAAGAAUUAUCGAAUAGCAACGUCCGGUUAUCAAUUCCCAUGAUGAUCGAAUAAGGUGAUUUUAAUAGAUUGGAGAUUCGACAUGACCGACAAGUCUACAGUGAUUAGCUGGUAUUAGAAUAUUGAUAGGUGAUAAAUGUACCGGAGAAGUAGGUAGGACGAUAAUGAGAUGCUCAUUAAUAAUACGGUUAUUAAUGCAUGACGCUUUGAAUUAAUUACUCGCAGCGUGCGUCGUUUAAUGUGGAUGAGUAUCUUGAGAGUAUGACUUUUCAUAUGGAGGCGUCGGGGACGUCAUGGCGUCCUUACAAUACGAUCCGGAUGGCGUGAACGCCGUAGCGAAUUGCAAGCUGUACUUUCGCAUUUCGUCACAGGUACAAUGCCAAAGGCCAAUGUCCAUCCAUUCAGGUACGUCAUUCGGGUAAUCCUAAUUAUCCUGAAGAUAGCCGAGACGAGGACGAGCAGGUAGAGCAAGUAAUUAUCUUCGUUCCGGGAAAGUCAAAAGAGAAGCGGCUAACUUCAAUAUUGUGACGUCGCGUUAGUUCCAGCCGCGAAGGAUGUUACGGAAGCAACCUCGGCUGGAUAAUGACAGAGCGCUGCUACCGAUCGUUUCUGAAGGAGAAAUCUGCAGCUCGUGCUGUCGGUCCGAACUUCUUUGAAAAUGGAGUGAAGAGGGCUGCGUCGAGGAAUAUGAAGAAGAAAAAUAAAAGUGGGUUGCCCUGAAAAAAAGAUUUUACGAUUUGGCCCGUAAUAUGUAGUCGUCCAAGAAUCCUGGUAUAUGGAAACCAAUUCCAGUUGGGUAAAGGGCAAUCGUUAACCAACGUUUACGGAAUUCUAAACCCUGAGCAAAAAUGACGUAGCAUACAUUACCCGUUGGUAAUAAUAAACCUGACUGUGAAGCCCCAGGCUUUUCUUAAGUAGCCUAAACGACGGAAAUCGUUCCUCUCGUAUCCACCAUCUUCAUCAAGUUAAUACACUGCAGAUAAGAGAACAUUUUCGACACCCGAGAUCUUAUAUCUUCAUGUAAGGGUACGAUCCUCUGUGUAUAAUUUUGUCAUUACCCCCACUUUUGCCAGGCUGCUGCCACCCCAGGCUUCGAUGAUGAUGAUUCCGAUGAUGAUAGUUCGCUCGUUAUUACGCUUCGGACGGCCAAAGACGUUCUCUUCGUGUUUAGAGCUGGAAGCGAUUGGCCGACGCCAUUACUCACACCGUUUGCGCCUGCCACAUGGCUCCGACGUCUUUUCUCUUCUUUCAAUUCUCUUCAUCUUCUUUUACUCCUUACAUCUUAUCCUUCAGCAUCCACUGCUAUCUUUGCAGCCCAUCCCCUCUUCGUCUAUCAUAUAUUCUUAUCCUUCUUCUUCUCCUCCUCCUCUCCCUCUCUCUCUUUCAACCAGCAAAUCUGACGACUGUAUAGAACGGCGCUCAUCUUCAAGACUAUUUUAUUCGGUGCCCCAUUCAAUUAUCCUAAGAGCGUUCAGCAAAUUACUUUUAUACCUUGAAACAGCAGCCAGGCGCAAUCGUUUUCCAAUGCUAAGAACUUUCGACCUAUCUAUAACCGCGAAAUAGCUUUGAUAGAACCUUCUUAUGUACUACACUGAUAUAACAACUUGAUUGGAAUAAUCUCUUGACCUAUGACACUGAAAGGCUUUGAUCUUUACCGUCUAUCACUUGUAUACACCUAGGACAAUGAUCGUUGUGGGAGAAAAAAUAUACGUAGAACGGAUCUUAAGGUAAAAUUAACUUCCAUAUACCAUGAGGAUGUAGAAGGAAUGUGCAAUGAAAUUAUCCAGAGCGGAAAUCAUUAAUAAAGUCCAAGAUCCACCU
Cephus cinctus (wheat stem sawfly) is the source of this 5300-nucleotide long non-coding RNA. RefSeq lists it as uncharacterized. Lineage: Eukaryota; Metazoa; Arthropoda; Insecta; Hymenoptera; Cephidae. The record is from RefSeq and is a predicted model, not a curated record. The transcript has 13 exons.